CGCGUGGGUAAUCUACCCUCGAAUUGGGGAUAACAUCGCGAAAGUGAUGCUAAUACCGAAUAAUAUCUUAAAAACCUCGGUUUUAAAGAUCAAAGGAGGCCUCUACUUGUAAGCUUCUGUUUGAGGAUGAGCCCGCGUACCAUUAGCUUGUUGGUAGGGUAAUGGCCUACCAAGGCUACGAUGGUUAGCUGGUCUGAGAGGAUGAUCAGCCACACUGGAACUGACACACGGUCCAG
RNAcentral lists this ribosomal RNA (236 nucleotides) under uncultured bacterium. Its description in RNAcentral is "partial 16S ribosomal RNA". It matches the Rfam family "Bacterial small subunit ribosomal RNA", at positions 114 to 334 of the family's 1533-position model. The record is from RNAcentral.